RNAcentral lists this ribosomal RNA (253 nucleotides) under uncultured bacterium. Its description in RNAcentral is "partial 16S ribosomal RNA". It matches the Rfam family "Bacterial small subunit ribosomal RNA", at positions 524 to 776 of the family's 1533-position model. The record is from RNAcentral.
UACGGAGGGUGCAAGCGUUGCUCGGAAUUACUGGGCGUAAAGGGCGUGUAGGCGGUUUCGUAUGUCUGGCGUGAAAGCCCCGGGCUCACCUCGGGAAGUGCGUCGGAAACUGCGAGACUAGAGUCCCGGAGAGGGGGGUGGAAUUCCAGGUGUAGCGGUGAAAUGCGUAGAUAUCUGGAAGAACACCGGUGGCGAAGGCGGCCUCCUGGACGGUGACUGACGCUGAGACGCGAAAGCGUGGGGAGCAAACAGG